Molecule: long non-coding RNA, 203 nt
Filed under: Lathyrus oleraceus (garden pea)
Lineage: Eukaryota; Viridiplantae; Streptophyta; Magnoliopsida; Fabales; Fabaceae
Description: Pisum sativum (pea) long non-coding RNA (PSAT_LNC007306)
Source: RNAcentral
GGGGAUUGAUGGAAUGUACAUUCCAUCUCCCAAAAUGAAUGAAUGAUAUUAAUUUGUUAAAAGUACUCCUUUGACCAAUUUGACUUUUGAUCCAUUCCCAUUCCUCUUCAUAUCAUUCCCCUUCUUUAUUCAUUCAUCUCAUUUGGCCUAUGAUAUCCCAAAGUCCUAAAUCUAGUUGAUUGAAAAAUUAACAUGAGUAUGGA